RNAcentral lists this ribosomal RNA (253 nucleotides) under uncultured bacterium. Its description in RNAcentral is "partial 16S ribosomal RNA". It matches the Rfam family "Bacterial small subunit ribosomal RNA", at positions 524 to 776 of the family's 1533-position model. The record is from RNAcentral.
UACGUAGGGUGCGAGCGUUAAUCGGAAUUACUGGGCGUAAAGCGUGCGCAGGCGGUUUUGUAAGACAGAGGUGAAAUCCCCGGGCUCAACCUGGGAACUGCAUUUGUGACUGCAUGGCUAGAGUACGGUAGAGGGGGAUGGAAUUCCGCGUGUAGCAGUGAAAUGCGUAGAUAUGCGGAGGAACACCGAUGGCGAAGGCAAUCCCCUGGACCUGUACUGACGCUCAUGCACGAAAGCGUGGGGAGCAAACAGG